Long non-coding RNA from Scylla paramamosain (green mud crab), 1687 nucleotides. RefSeq lists it as uncharacterized. The record is from RefSeq and is a predicted model, not a curated record. The transcript has 2 exons. Lineage: Eukaryota; Metazoa; Arthropoda; Malacostraca; Decapoda; Portunidae.
GCUGGACGCAGUGUGUGUGUAUGUGUGUGUGUGUGUGUGUAGCAGCUUCGCAUCUAGCCUAUGUAUGGACUACGGUUACAGGGUCGCUCUCUGCUGCUAACCUUGCUCUUCUUAAAAGUGAAGGCAGACACCCUGAUGAACUUAAACCAGAGAGGCCAGUGAAGGGAAGAGGAACGACCCCUCAUCUAUUAUUGAAGAUUAAUGUGUCAUAACGAGAAUUCCAACGAAGUGUAGUAAGAAAAACAGAUAAUAAGAGAAGAUGCUAACUUUGAAACAUCUGUUCGUUAACGUGUAACACUUCUGGCCACUUAAACACUGACUAUAAAUUCAAGAACAGCAGCGAGUGUUACGCGAAGCAAUGCGACUAAAGAGACCACAUCCUCAAGCCCUCCACAGUGUAUCUUGCUAUGUUAUCCUCUUUUAACUUUCCCUGGUGCAGCGAUGUCCUUGAAUACAGACUUGAUAUGGAAAUUACAUGAACAUAUGAUGAAGACAAAUAACUGCAACAGAACAAGGCCAGUUACAUAUUUUAUAACAGUUACUCAUACUCGUUUUCUGUUGCUCUCGUACUGUUGAAUAAAGAAAACCAUCAACACAAUCAAAUCAACAUUUACGAUUAUACGAGUACGAGACCUUGUUUUGUUGGUAUCAACCAUUCAUUCAGGAGAACAUAGUCAACGUGUUAGUGAUAUAUAACUUUUUAUGGUCAGAAAAUGAAUGAACAAAAUAAAUACACGUAUGGGGGUUCAUCACAUGGUUGGUAUUAGCUUAUCCUUCACUAAAAUAGCAUAUGUUGGUAAUGGCAUUCACUAUGCUUAUCAGUGAGUCAUGAUAAUUAUCAUCAUCCCACUUCUUUCCUAUUGUGUGUAGAGGUUUUAACUUGUGUUGAGUACAUUAUGUACGGUUCGCAUUCUCUUGAUUACUUUUAAACUACUGGGAUGUGGAAGGUACUGACUAAGAUUUACAACUGUUUUCAUGAUCCUAGUAAUAGUUAAACGAGGACUAUACCACAUAUACACAUAACUAAUGAUAUAUACAUAACUGAGAACCACACUAAUUAUCUCUGUGGCCUUUGAAAAUAGUCCAGAUGAGAGAACAAAGCGUCUCAGAAUAUGGGCGCGGUUUAUUGCACUGUUUUCAAGUUCAUGAUUAUAAUACUAGCUUCUUCACUUGCUUCUUGCCAUGACUCACCAACCACUUUCUCUGGGUGCCCCUCAUUGUUGUUGUUGCUGCUGUUUAAAAGCUGGUGUCAAUUUUUUUUUUUCUUCGCCUAGAAGGAUUUGACUUCAUAAAUUCACACUGACUCACAUCCUUAUUGAAGUUACAACGUUCUGUGCAUGAUUCUUUGAGUUGCUGCCCUCGCCCCCUGCCCCUCUUGUCAACCUCAUUAACACCCUCAAGAAUGGACAGCCUUUCACACCUUAUAUGCGGCUCAAUUUAUCUAUUUGUUUAUUUACUUACUUUACGCACAAUUUAUCCUGAUAGGUAGCAACACAAAUGAAUGAAUUAAUAAAUAAACAGAACCAGUUGAUUAAUUAAGAUGCUCAACUGCUGUUCCCCCAAAAAAUGAUAACGACCAAUUUAUUUGUUCUUCGAGAGUUUUGAUGUUCUUAGAAUAUUUAAAUAAUGAUGAUGAUGAUGAUGAUGAUAAUAAUAAUAAUAAUAAUAAUAAUAAUAAUAAUAAUAA